Molecule: long non-coding RNA, 885 nt
Filed under: Helianthus annuus (common sunflower)
Lineage: Eukaryota; Viridiplantae; Streptophyta; Magnoliopsida; Asterales; Asteraceae
Source: RNAcentral
AACCGUUGGUGACUCCUCAGAUGAACCAAAGUAGCACUGGCAUUGUCACAAUGGAUAGUGGUUGGUGAAGGAAUAAAGAUAGUGUGCAGGUCAUGAGGGUUGCUUGGCAUGCGGGUUUUACAGCUCAACUUCAACAAAACGGUUCAUCCAAUGCUGGUGAAGUUAGAAUUUCUUCUGGUUGUUGCAUUUUGUAACUACUUGAAAGGAAUCGCAUCUGAUCGGGAUGCAAAUAUACAGUUAAGAGCUUGAAAUGGGCCAGUCAGUACAUAUGGGCACUAUCCUUGCUGGUGAUUUUAUGGUGGCAUUUUGGCUCACCAAAUUGACUACUACUGAUUGUUGCGGGUGCUCAUCGGGACAGAACCAGAAAGUACCAACACCGGAAGAUUAAAAUAUCAAACCGAGAGAACCAAACCUAUCUAAACGAGUUUCGUUUAAGACUGUAACGAUUUGCGUUUUGGAUUCCUAAUUCUUACAAGGAGUGUAAUAGUUUUUUAGCGUUCUAAGGGAAAUGACCACCAUACCUACCUAAUAUAUAUAUAAAUUUUUUUGUUUUGUUACUUAUCUUUACUUUGCUUUCAUAAUUAAAUUGGUGUCGAAUUUUGGGUGCAGGCCAUGGAUACCAAAGACAAGGAGAGCAAAUAAUUAAUUGGACAUAGAGUUUUUGUUAUUGCUGAGAGGCAUGAGUGGAGCUGGUGGUUUGAGUGCGAAAAUCUGGUGGCAGAUGAGUUGUUAGUGGUUGUGGGCGGUGGUGAUUGUUAGCCAUACCAUUGUGGUGAUUAAGGAAUAGAGGGAUGGUUUUCAACAACCGGUGAGCCAUUUGUAGUAAAGGAGGAUGAUUUCCAGUUUCAUUCCAAGAGGAUGAAUGCGAUAGUGGAGUUAAAGAAG